RNAcentral lists this ribosomal RNA (449 nucleotides) under uncultured bacterium. RNAcentral describes it as "bacterial SSU rRNA". It matches the Rfam family "Bacterial small subunit ribosomal RNA", at positions 355 to 825 of the family's 1533-position model. The record is from RNAcentral.
UGAGGAAUUUUCUGCAAUGGGCGAAAGCCUGACAGAGCAAUACCGCGUGAGGGAUGAAGGCCUAUGGGUUGUAAACCUCUUUUCUCAAGGAGGAAGAUAUGACGUUACUUGAGGAAUAAGCAUCGGCUAACCCUGUGCCAGCAGCCGCGGUAAUACGUAGGGACCAAGCGUUGUUCGGAUUUACUGGGCGUAAAGGGCGCGUAGGCGGUGUGUCAAGUCAGUUGUGAAAUCUCCGAGCUUAACUCGGAACGGUCAACUGAUACUGUCACACUAGAGUACAGAAGGGGCAAUCGGAAUUCUUGGUGUAGCGGUGAAAUGCGUAGAUAUCAAGAGGAACACCUGAGGUGAAGACGGGUUGCUGGGCUGACACUGACGCUGAGGCGCGAAAGCCAGGGGAGCAAACGGGAUUAGAUACCCUCGUAGUCCCUGAGCGGGCUGGCAAGGCGCAU